This 320-nucleotide ribosomal RNA is filed under the name uncultured eukaryote. RNAcentral describes it as "partial 18S ribosomal RNA". It matches the Rfam family "Eukaryotic small subunit ribosomal RNA", at positions 1470 to 1796 of the family's 1831-position model. The record is from RNAcentral.
CCCCUAGAUGUUCUGGGCCGCACGCGCGCUACACUGAACAGUUCAACAAGUCUUAACCUUGGCCGAUAGGUCUGGGUAAUCUUUGAACGCUGUUCGUGAUUGGGAUAGACCUUUGCAAUUAUGGGUCUUCAACGAGGAAUUCCUAGUAAACGCGAGUCAUCAGCUUGCAUUGAUUACGUCCCUGCCCUUUGUACACACCGCCCGUCGCACCUACCGAUUGAAUGGUCCGGUGAAAUCUCGGGACGGCGGCUUGGUCGCUUGCGUCCGACUGCUGAAACUUGAUUAAACCAUAUCAUUUAGAGGAAGGUGAAGUCGUANCA